UACAGAGGUCCCGAGCGUUGUUCGGAUUUAUUGGGCGUAAAGGGUGCGUAGGUGGCAAAGUAAGUUGGAUGUGAAAUCCUGGGGCUCAACCUCAGAAUUGCAUUCAAUACUGCUUAGCUAGAGAGCUGUAGAGGAGACUGGAAUUUACGGCGUAGCAGUGAAAUGCGUAGAUAUCGUAAGGAACGCCAGUGGCGAAAGCGAGUCUCUGGGCAGCAUCUGACACUGAGGCACGAAGGCCAGGGGAGCAAACGGG
Molecule: ribosomal RNA, 253 nt
Filed under: uncultured bacterium
Lineage: Bacteria
Description: partial 16S ribosomal RNA
Rfam family: Bacterial small subunit ribosomal RNA
Source: RNAcentral